Molecule: long non-coding RNA, 898 nt
Organism: Chenopodium quinoa (quinoa)
Lineage: Eukaryota; Viridiplantae; Streptophyta; Magnoliopsida; Caryophyllales; Amaranthaceae
Exons: 2
Source: RefSeq, a predicted model, not a curated record
UUUUUUUUUUUUUUUUUUUAAAUUUGGGAAUACCAAGGAGGCUGGGAUGCCAAGAGUACAUAUAUUUUUUCUUUAAAAACUGGAGUACCGGUGAGUGGUAUGCCGAGAAUAGCAGGCUGCUAUGCUGAGAAAACUCGUCAAUGCUGACAGCUAGCCAGUGCUGCAGGGUGGUUAAUAUGCUGAGAGCAUGUUCCUCCUCCCUUUUCCUUGAAAUUUAACAAUUUUUCCCUCACCAUUUAUAAUCGUCUCAGGCUUGCAGAUCUUUGAGUUGUGCAAAUUCUUUGAUGAUUAAGUAAAUGUCGAAGGAGGGUUAACUGCCGAGAGAGUGAUCGGCCAUUGUAAUAGGCUUAGCUCUCAAACUUGAUAGCAAUAUUAACUUUUUUUAUUUUUUAUAUUUUAUUUUAUUUUUAAUUGUUGAAUCGCUGAAGGCUUAGAUAGCCCAGCACACCCAAGACGCUGACCAUACCCGAGAGCAUGAGUGAGCUAGAUCUGCCAAAAGCUAGGAUGUAAGGUCGAGAUCCUGGGGGUACGAAGAGUGCCGAGAGACCUGCUACGCAGCUAGGCCAGUUGAGAGCUAGGUGAUGAGACAUGGUACCCGAGAUCUAGGCGUGAGCUUGAGAUAGAGCGCAUAGCACGAGGCAGCGGUGCAGCGGGGCAACUCGUGGGCCCAGGGCUCAGUUAUGCGGUUCGCUUGGCUAGCCUGCCCCUCAGUCUUGCUGGGAAUUGGUCCCCGGGGUGCGCUUGACUUGCAUUGAAGAGAUCCUCCGGCCUUGAUGUUUAGACAUUUAACUUUCUUUGUGAUAUAUUUGGAUAUGUUGACUUGUACUUGGCAUCAUCCCUUCUAUGUAUGAGACUUUUAUUUUGACUUUGUAAUAUAUUCAUGCCCUUUCGCUUGACA